RNAcentral lists this ribosomal RNA (660 nucleotides) under Salmonella enterica. Its description in RNAcentral is "partial 23S ribosomal RNA". It matches the Rfam family "Bacterial large subunit ribosomal RNA", at positions 711 to 1367 of the family's 2925-position model. Lineage: Bacteria; Pseudomonadati; Pseudomonadota; Gammaproteobacteria; Enterobacterales; Enterobacteriaceae. The record is from RNAcentral. RNAcentral also lists the same sequence under 2 other names.
AGACCCGAAACCCGGUGAUCUAGCCAUGGGCAGGUUGAAGGUUGGGUAACACUAACUGGAGGACCGAACCGACUAAUGUUGAAAAAUUAGCGGAUGACCUGUGGCUGGGGGUGAAAGGCCAAUCAAACCGGGAGAUAGCUGGUUCUCCCCGAAAGCUAUUUAGGUAGCGCCUCGUGAAUUCAUCUCCGGGGGUAGAGCACUGUUUCGGCUAGGGGGCCAUCCCGGCUUACCAACCCGAUGCAAACUGCGAAUACCGGAGAAUGUUAUCACGGGAGACACACGGCGGGUGCUAACGUCCGUCGUGAAGAGGGAAACAACCCAGACCGCCAGCUAAGGUCCCAAAGUCAUGGUUAAGUGGGAAACGAUGUGGGAAGGCCCAGACAGCCAGGAUGUUGGCUUAGAAGCAGCCAUCAUUUAAAGAAAGCGUAAUAGCUCACUGGUCGAGUCGGCCUGCGCGGAAGAUGUAACGGGGCUAAACCAUGCACCGAAGCUGCGGCAGCGACGCUGAUGCGUUGUUGGGUAGGGGAGCGUUCUGUAAGCCUGCGAAGGUGGCCUGUGAGGGUUGCUGGAGGUAUCAGAAGUGCGAAUGCUGACAUAAGUAACGAUAAAGCGGGUGAAAAGCCCGCUCGCCGGAAGACCAAGGGUUCCUGUCCAACGUUA